CAUGGCUCCGAGGCUUUCGAGUCAAAAUUGCAAAUUUUUUAAUUUUCUUUUGUCUCACAAUUCCCAAACGAGACUGUGAUACAUAGGUUAGAAUAUUGAUACAACGAACGUGGCCUAUUGUUGAACGUCAACCUCAGGACACCGUAAGACGUUUCAGUAUUCAAAUUCACACAUUAAUUGCCUGAAAGUGGUCAGUAAUUGGACAUACGUAAAGAUGGUUACUUUAGUACUCUGUGGUCUACCGGCAAGAAUUAAAUGAAAUACAAAAGAUUCUGAUUUUCUUUCAAAUACAGUGAAUUGUGGCUAAUUGCCUCAGGAAAUUUAAAUAAAAUUAGGUCUGUUCUAGCUUUAAAACUAUGUUUCUGUUCGCCCUUUUUUGCCUUUACCUUGUACAAAACACAAUACUUUUCGCCUGUUACAAAUUAUUCUCUCUUGGUUUUGGCCUGUCGUGUCAAUUUAUGUGACAUUAGCUUAACCAUUUACCUUUUCCAGGACUUUGAAGCAAAACAAAAAUAACUUAAACAGCAUCCGAAAACGUAUAAUAGACUUUUCCCCAUUUUUCUCUGAUAUAAUUUCCUGCAAAUGGGAAACAUAAAACAGUGCUCGGCUUUUCACCUGCCACUUGAGUAUCAUCAAUGCUUAGUCACCGUACAUUGAGUCUCCCAUCACACUGAAAACAACCGAUUUCUAUGAUAUUUAAUUAAACUAUCUAUUAUAAACCUAAAUAUCCCUUUUAUUGUACUUUGAUAUUGUAUUAAGCGAAAGAAAGAUAUUGUGGUUGCUGUUGUUAAAAUCACGAAGUUGUUACUUUGAACUUGAACGUAAGUGUACUGCACCAACAAUAGUGUUAAAAACGUUGUGUAUUUACUUUUCCAGCGUUAAAAAUGUUUUUCAUUGACCCUUAGGCUCUCGACUUCUAUUUUAGAGUCAUAAAUUUGCCGAGAGGUCAUCGAAGUUUCUUAAGCAAGCCAAGUCAGUCUUGAUUCUACAGAUGAUGAAGCGGCUUCCUUCUCUCUUGCUUUGCCAAGCCAUUUUCCAGCUUGCAAUAGCAGCGAGUCUUCACGAUCUGAAACCAGAGAUACAAACACAACAAUUUCGGGAAGAGGUAUUGUGGACUUUGAUGUUAUGAUCUUGUGUGGAACUGGAGAAAGUGCGAUUCAUUACAAUGGCUACGGCUGUUACUGCGGUUUGGGUGAUCAAGGAACCCCUGUGGAUGACACAGAUAGGUGCCGCAAAAUACACGACAGAUGCUAUGACGGGAUAAAGAAGUCAGGCACUUGUUUCUCUCCGAAACGGACAUUGUCGACAUGCCUUGUGUGUGUGCGACUCAGCCGCUGUGCAGUGUUUUAUAAAGAGCAAGAACACUUUCAAUAAUUCUUACAAGAGCUAUGACAAAAAGAACGAAUGUCAGCUGUAAUUUGCCUUCAGUACUGAAGCAUUAAACACGUUAACAGUCGAAAAUGUCUGUGUCUUAUACUUUGUUACCGAUAAUAAACAAUUUUGUUGAAUUCUUGCUAAGGGCCUGCUUACAUGGUGAAUUUCAGCCCGGGCUGAAAUUUUAGCUCGGCUAAGGGGGCUGAAAUUUUGUUGCGAUUACAUGAAAUAUUUUCCUCGGCGCCAAAUAUGAAAUUGCGCGCGAAGAGUCUCAGGAGAAUCAAAAUGGCGCCGAGAACAGGUAUCGUGAAAAUAGGCGCAUUGCUUCUCUCGCAGUUUGGCCUUUUGUUAGCGUUCAAUUUUCAACUUUUUGGGAUGGUAACAGCCAACAAGAUGAUGGAACUGAAACGAAACCUGUCUUUGGCUACAUAUCUUUCAGCCAGAAAGACGUACUUGCAUAGAAAGAGAAGAUAUAAAUGCGAGCCAUGGCUUCCCUGACAGCCUCGUAAUGUUUAACCUUGUCUGCAUUGAAGUCGAUGUUCUUAUAUUCCAUCUGAGCUUUGAAAUUAGCGAGACAACGAAUAAGAUUCUCUAUUGUAUCUCCUUUAUUCCACUAAAAUAGCUUCUCCUUCGUAGCGGCAGCCAUCUUGUUUACUAGAAAACAAAAUCACUGGGCAUGUCCAACCUCGCUGAAAUUACGUUCCGAUUUUUCAGCCAAAAAAAAAAAAAA
RNAcentral lists this long non-coding RNA (2104 nucleotides) under Orbicella faveolata. Its description in RNAcentral is "uncharacterized LOC110061739". The record is from RNAcentral. Lineage: Eukaryota; Metazoa; Cnidaria; Anthozoa; Scleractinia; Merulinidae.